AGAACGAACGCUGGCGGCACGCCUAACACAUGCAAGUCGAGCGCCCAGCAAUGGGAGCGGCGGACGGGUGAGGAACACGUGGGAACAUGCCUUUCGGUUCGGCACAACUGCGGGAAACUGCAGCUAAUUCCGGAUACGCCCUUACGGGGAAAGAUUUAUCGCCGAAAGAUUGGCCCGCGUCUGAUUAGCUAGUUGGUGAGGUAAUGGCUCACCAAGGCUUCGAUCAGUAGCUGGUUUGAGAGAACGACCAGCCACACUGGGACUGAGACACGGCCCAGACUCCUACGGGAGGCAGCAGUGGGGAAUCUUGGACAAUGGAGGAAACUCUGAUCCAGCGAUGCCGCGUGAGUGAUGAAGGCCUUCGGGUUGUAAAACUCUUUUACCAGGGAAGAUAAUGACUGUACCUGGAGAAGUAAGCCCGGCUAACUUCGUGCCAGCAGCCGC
This 444-nucleotide ribosomal RNA is filed under the name uncultured bacterium. Its description in RNAcentral is "SSU rRNA". It matches the Rfam family "Bacterial small subunit ribosomal RNA", at positions 26 to 518 of the family's 1533-position model. The record is from RNAcentral.